This 1020-nucleotide ribosomal RNA is filed under the name uncultured bacterium. RNAcentral's name for it is "bacterial SSU rRNA". It matches the Rfam family "Bacterial small subunit ribosomal RNA", at positions 466 to 1498 of the family's 1533-position model. The record is from RNAcentral.
GUUUUGUAUGUACCUUACGAAUAAGCAUCGGCUAACUCCGUGCCAGCAGCCGCGGUAAUACGGAGGAUGCGAGCGUUAUCCGGAUUUAUUGGGUUUAAAGGGUGCGUAGGCGGACUGGUCAGUCAGCGGUGAAAUCUCGAGGCUUAACUUCGAAACUGCCGUUGAAACUGCUAGUCUUGAGUGUGAACGAGGUAGGCGGAAUUCGUGGUGUAGCGGUGAAAUGCUUAGAUAUCACGAAGAACUCCGAUAGCGCAGGCAGCUUACCAGGCCACAACUGACGCUGAGGCACGAAAGUGUGGGUAUCAAACAGGAUUAGAUACCCUGGUAGUCCACACAGUAAACGAUGAAUACUAACUGUUUGCGAUAUACAGUAAGCGGUACAGCGAAAGCGUUAAGUAUUCCACCUGGGGAGUACGCCGGCAACGGUGAAACUCAAAGGAAUUGACGGGGGCCCGCACAAGCGGAGGAACAUGUGGUUUAAUUCGAUGAUACGCGAGGAACCUUACCCGGGCUCGAACGGCAAAUGAAUAAAGAUGAAAGUUUUUAGCUAGCAAUAGCAUUUGUCGAGGUGCUGCAUGGUUGUCGUCAGCUCGUGCCGUGAGGUGUCGGCUUAAGUGCCAUAACGAGCGCAACCCCUAUCUUUAGUUACCAUCAGGUUAAGCUGGGGACUCUAAAGAGACUGCCACCGUAAGGUGUGAGGAAGGUGGGGAUGACGUCAAAUCAGCACGGCCCUUACGUCCGGGGCGACACACGUGUUACAAUGGGGGGUACAAAGGGUCGCUACCAGGCAACUGGAUGCUAAUCUCAAAAACCUCUCCCAGUUCGGAUCGGAGUCUGCAACUCGACUCCGUGAAGCUGGAUUCGCUAGUAAUCGCGCAUCAGCCAUGGCGCGGUGAAUACGUUCCCGGGCCUUGUACACACCGCCCGUCAAGCCAUGGAAGCCGGGGGUACCUGAAGUACGUAACCGUAAGGAGCGUCCUAGGGUAAAACUGGUAACUGGGGCUAAGUCGUAACAAGGUA